This is a non-coding RNA of Tinamus guttatus (white-throated tinamou), 352 nucleotides long. The record is from RefSeq and is a predicted model, not a curated record. NCBI's taxonomy places the organism in Eukaryota, Metazoa, Chordata, Aves, Tinamiformes, Tinamidae.
AGUAUAUGCACAGUUUUUUCUUUGCUGAGCAAAUGCAGCGUCCUUUUGGCACUGUAUCUCCACUGCCCUAAUUCUGCAUUUCAGGUAUGUGCCAUGGAACCUUCAUGAACCAGCAAGAGGGAAGUUCGACUUCAGCCGAAACCUGGAUCUAGAGGCCUUCCUGUCACUGGCAGCUAAAAUUGGACUGUGGGUGAUUCUGCGCCCUGGACCUUAUAUCUGCUCUGAAUGGGACCUUGGCGGCCUGCCCAGUUGGCUACUGCAAGACCCAGAAAUGCAGUUGAGGACAACCUACAAGGGCUUCACCGAAGCUGUGGAUGCCUAUUUUGAUCACUUAAUGACUAUUGUAGUCCCU